This 395-nucleotide ribosomal RNA is filed under the name uncultured bacterium. Its description in RNAcentral is "bacterial SSU rRNA". It matches the Rfam family "Bacterial small subunit ribosomal RNA", at positions 362 to 773 of the family's 1533-position model. The record is from RNAcentral.
UAUUGCACAAUGGGGGAAACCCUGAUGCAGCGACGCCGCGUGCGGGAUGACGGCCUUCGGGUUGUAAACCGCUUUCAGCAGGGACGAAUCAAGACGGUACCUGCAGAAGAAGCGCCGGCUACCUACGUGCCAGCAGCCGCGGGAAUACGUAGGGCGCAAGCGUUGUCCGGAAUUAUUGGGCGUAAAGAGCUCGUAGGCGGUUUGUCGCGUCGGGUGUGAAAGCUUGGGGCUUAACCCCAAGUCUGCAUCCGAUACGGGCAGACUAGAGGCAGGUAGGGGAGAACGGAAUUCCUGGUGUAGCGGUGAAAUGCGCAGAUAUCAGGAGGAACACCGGUGGCGAAGGCGGUUCUCUGGGCCUGUACUGACGCUGAGGAGCGAAAGCGUGGGGAGCGAAC